This 253-nucleotide ribosomal RNA is filed under the name uncultured bacterium. RNAcentral describes it as "partial 16S ribosomal RNA". It matches the Rfam family "Bacterial small subunit ribosomal RNA", at positions 524 to 776 of the family's 1533-position model. The record is from RNAcentral.
UACGGAGGAGGCAAGCGUUAUCCGGAAUUAUUGGGCGUAAAGCGUCCGUAGGUGGGUUAUCAAGUCAGCUGUUAAAUAGUGAAGCUUAACUUCAUAGAGGCGGCUGAAACUGAUAGUCUAGAGUGUGGUAGGGGUAGAGGGAAUUUCCAGUGUAGCGGUGAAAUGCGUAGAUAUUGGAAAGAACACCGGUGGCGAAGGCGCUCUACUGGGCCAUCACUGACACUGAGGGACGAAAGCUAGGGGAGCGAAAGGG